Molecule: small nucleolar RNA, 116 nt
Filed under: Chinchilla lanigera (long-tailed chinchilla)
Lineage: Eukaryota; Metazoa; Chordata; Mammalia; Rodentia; Chinchillidae
Description: Small nucleolar RNA SNORA28 (ENSCLAG00000020921.1)
Rfam family: Small nucleolar RNA SNORA28
About the family: ACA28 is a member of the H/ACA class of snoRNA that guide the sites of modification of uridines to pseudouridines.
Source: Rfam by way of RNAcentral
AAGCAACACCCUAUGACAGAUUGUCAAAGUAGUCUAGCACAAUUUGAGCAAGAAAGUCUAACCUAUUCCGGCACUCUCUCCUCUAUGAGACGGCCCGUUACAUAGACUUGAACAGU